This 2156-nucleotide unclassified non-coding RNA is filed under the name Hevea brasiliensis (rubber tree). The record is from RNAcentral. Lineage: Eukaryota; Viridiplantae; Streptophyta; Magnoliopsida; Malpighiales; Euphorbiaceae.
GGGUUUUUCAAUUCUUUCGUCAAAAACGUGCGAAUCGCGCACAGCUGUAUCAAAUAGAUCGUAGAAGCAAAACAACCGCCUUAGGAUCGAAUUCCAGCCCUAGAAGAUCAGAGAAGACCUAACACUGCACCCCCUUCUCAACUUUAGUCCCUCUCAGAGCUGCAAGAAGUCAAGAUCCCGUUUGAUUCGCCAACUUACCUUUUACAAAUCUUGCAUGUGGUAUCGAUUUUUCUCUUUCUUUUUAUUUUUUUUCAUACCCGUUUUGUUGAUUUCUCUUAUAAAGAUCGAUUAAUGUUUAGGGUUAGCAUCCUUGUCUUUUGAGUUUAUUGGAUGCAAGUGUCGCAAGCGCAUUGCUUGAUUUGUUAGCAGUUCAUUCCUAUAGUAAUCCAAUUAAGCACUAAACUUGUAUAGGAGCUUUGGACAGCAAAAAGAUUGAUUCUUGCUGUAAUCUCAUAAGAAAAAGACCAACUUUUUGAGAAUUUAAUGUCUAAAUUAACUCUUACUGUUCAUCUUUGGUUUUAAUGUAUUGCCCAAAUGAGAUGCUUCUUUUAAAAAUGAUCAGGACAGAGCUGUGUUUUUCAUAUCUUAUUACCUGCCCAAUGAAGCAUGUUGUCAAGAUUAUGGCCUUGCUAGUGGCCAUUUCUUCCAUUUGGGUUGGCCUCUUGCAGACCUCUAUUAUUCCUCAUAGCCAUACUUGGUUGGUAAGUCAUGUUUAAAUUUUGUUUAUCCGCAUGUUUUUGCUUAUUUUUCUUGCUGCUUGGGCUGACCUGGCUUUGUGACUCCUUCUCAGCUACCCAUCUAUUUUGUUGUAUCUUUGGGUUGCUAUGGUUUAUUAAUGGUUGGAGUUGGCUUAAUGCGAUUUCCAACUUGUCCUCAAGAAGCAAUGCUAUUGCAGCAGGUAUUGUACUGCUAUUCAACUUUAUCUUGUGGGCUAUUAUUGAUUUUUUCCCCAUUUAGUUGGAAAGAUGCAGCUAAUCUGCAUGUUUUUUUGUCCAAUUUAAAAGAUUCUUAGAUGGUGAUUUGUUACUUUAGACUUUAUCUUCACAAACUCUGCUUGGUCUGUAAUUCUUCCAAUGAAUCACAAGAUGGCACUUGCUUUCAAUUCUAUUGUAUAUUACAAAUGCUUGACAGUUUAUGUCAACAUGGCACCAAAUAUCUCAAAAAUUUAUUGCAUGCCAAUUGAUGUGUAGUGUGUACAUCUUGAUUCCAAAGAACCACCGGGAUUCCAUGCUAAUGAAACAUAUUAUAUAAUAUGGGUGCUGACUGUGUGAUACUAGAGAUGUUGUGAGCCCCUAUUAUGCUCAAAUGGUUUAUUACAUCUAUACAAUUUCACUAAAUUUAAGAUGGCUUUGCUUUAAAUCACUCAGCUUUGCUUUAAAUCACUCAAGUGAAAUAUUAUCCACUUGUUUUCAUGUCAUCUACUUGUUUAGAUACAGAUAAAUCAGCAUUGUGACGAGUGACCAUCUAUGGUUUUUUUUCCCCCCAACUUGUGAUAAUAUCUUUUCAUGACUCUGUCUACAAGUAUGUUCAAUUGUUGAGUGACCUUAAUAACAUCUCUAUGUGUUGUAUUUAUUUUCUUAUAGCACAAAGAAGUUUCAAGAAUCAUUAGUUUUUUUUAUAGGACUUAUCAUAAGCCUUUUUUGUAGUUAGAAAGCAAAAAAUUUCUAUAUUCUCUAAGAUUCACGAAUUUAUAGCUUUUGUUUUAUUUUGGCAGGACAUCAUCGAGGCCAAAGAAUUUCUAAAGCAAAAAGGGAUUGAUGUUGGCUCGGAUUGAUGAAGGCACAUAAUUUCAGGUUUAGACAGUUAAUGGCAAAACAUCUGAAAGCUUUGAGCAAUCUAUCGGUGCAUCAGAAUGCCAACUUUUCCUGUCUAUUCAAAAUUUUUUCAAAGAGUUGCAAUGUUAAAGCUAAUUAAACUUGAGGUUCCACAACGGCUCCUGGACAUUUAUGAAAAGAUGGAUUUUAUUGUUUCCUCUUUCUCUCGCUUUUUUCCUUUUUAACUAAUGGGAAUUGAGAGUUGUAGCCAUUACUCUUAUGUGAAGUUAUACGAAGAUGAACAUCAAAACAUGAUUGCCAUUCUUAAUUAACUUUUGUAACAUUUACAAUUCUUAGCUAACAUUCUUAUAAUAUUUGUUAAGUUCAAUCUUUUACUCUCUU